This 301-nucleotide ribosomal RNA is filed under the name uncultured bacterium. Its description in RNAcentral is "partial 16S ribosomal RNA". It matches the Rfam family "Bacterial small subunit ribosomal RNA", at positions 509 to 807 of the family's 1533-position model. The record is from RNAcentral.
CAGUCGCCACGGUAAAACGAAGGGUGCAAGCGUUACUCGGAAUUACUGGGCGUAAAGCGUGCGUAGGUGGUGGUUUAAGUCCGUUGUGAAAGCCCUGGGCUCAACCUGGGAAUUGCAGUGGAUACUGGGUCACUAGAGUGUGGUAGAGGAUAGUGGAAUUUCCGGUGUAGCAGUGAAAUGCGUAGAGAUCGGAAGGAACAUCUGUGGCGAAGGCGACUAUCUGGGCCAACACUGACACUGAGGCACGAAAGCGUGGGGAGCAAACAGGAUUAGAUACCCCCGUAGUCCCUGUCUCUUAUAC